This is a microRNA precursor of Hucho hucho (huchen), 60 nucleotides long. NCBI's taxonomy places the organism in Eukaryota, Metazoa, Chordata, Actinopteri, Salmoniformes, Salmonidae. The record is from Ensembl.
ACAUGCUUCCUUAUAUCCCCAUAUGAAUACUGCUGUUAUGGAAUGUAAGGAAGUGUGUGG